This 718-nucleotide long non-coding RNA is filed under the name Brassica rapa (field mustard). RNAcentral's name for it is "long non-coding RNA (BRAP_LNC001056)". Lineage: Eukaryota; Viridiplantae; Streptophyta; Magnoliopsida; Brassicales; Brassicaceae. The record is from RNAcentral.
GCAAUUGUUUAAUAUAAACCUAAUCCUAUUUUAGCUCAGCCCUAUUUUAACCUUGUUUUAACCAAGGGUUAUGACUGGUACUCGGUUUAUCUCAUUUAAAUAGAAAAAUCUAUUUUAUUCAUUUUUAUCUUUAACUUCUAAGCAUAAAAUAAAAAAACCUAAGAUAUGAUAUGAUCAUCACUCGUUGCUCUCUUCCGACUUUUGACCAUCAUAACUGGGGCUUUCCACCAAAACAGCAAAAUUAAGUUUUUUCGAUAAAAUUACAAAAAUUAAGUUUCCUGCCAAAAUCACAAAAAUCGAUUUUCCCGCAGAAAAAAAAAGUUAAAAAACAAAAUAUCUAGUUUUUCAAACAAAACUACAAAAAUCAAGUUUUCUGCUAAAAUAGCAAAAAUCGAGUUUCCCGCAAAAAUAAAAAAAUGGAGGUUUUAAGACGAAACCACAAAAAUCAAGUCUCCCGCUAAAUACAUAAAAAUCGUGUUUCACGCAAAAAAACAAAAUUCGAGUUUUUCUGCUAGAAUAAAAAAAAAUUAAUUUUUCCGCCAAAACUAAAAAUUGAGUUUUUCUGUCAAAAUUAAAAGUCAAAUUUUCUCGCUAAAACUGAAAGUCGACUUUUCCGAUAAAAUAUAAAAAUCAAGUUUUCACGCCAAAACCGCAAAAUCAAGUUCUCACCGAAACAGAAAAUCAAGUUUUCUCGCUAAAAACUAAAAACUCGUUUUCC